RNAcentral lists this ribosomal RNA (186 nucleotides) under uncultured bacterium. RNAcentral describes it as "partial 16S ribosomal RNA". It matches the Rfam family "Bacterial small subunit ribosomal RNA", at positions 1315 to 1500 of the family's 1533-position model. The record is from RNAcentral.
ACUACAUGAAGCUGGAAUCGCUAGUAAUCGCAGAUCAGAAUGCUGCGGUGAAUACGUUCCCGGGUCUUGUACACACCACCCGUCACACCAUGGGAGUCGGAAAUGCCCGAAGCCGGUGACCCAACCAAAAGGAGGGAGCCGUCGAAGGCAGGUCUGAUAACUGGGGUGAAGUCGUAACAAGGUAAC